This 96-nucleotide signal recognition particle RNA is filed under the name Deltaproteobacteria bacterium. RNAcentral's name for it is "signal recognition particle sRNA small type". It matches the Rfam family "Bacterial small signal recognition particle RNA". Rfam says of the family: The signal recognition particle (SRP) is a universally conserved ribonucleoprotein involved in the co-translational targeting of proteins to membranes. Archaeal SRP consists of a 7S RNA and homologues of the eukaryotic SRP19 and SRP54 proteins. The record is from RNAcentral. Lineage: Bacteria; Pseudomonadati; Myxococcota; Myxococcia.
AGCCGGGACCCGCGCAAUCGGUCUCUGAGAACCCCGCCAGGCCCGGAAGGGAGCAACGGUAUCAGAGAAAGAUGUGUUGCGGUAAGCUCGGCUAUC